Molecule: ribosomal RNA, 464 nt
Filed under: uncultured bacterium
Lineage: Bacteria
Description: bacterial SSU rRNA
Rfam family: Bacterial small subunit ribosomal RNA
Source: RNAcentral
CUACGGGAGGCAGCAGUGGGAAUAUUGGACAAUGGGCGAAACCCUGAUCCAGCGACGCCGCGUGUGUGAAGAAGGCCUGCGGGUUGUAAAGCACUUUUAGUGGGGACAAAAAGCCAGGGGCUAAUACCGCCUGGUCUUGAUUUAACUCACAGAAAAAGCACCGGCUAACUCUGUGCCAGCAGCCGCGGUAAUACAGAGGGUGCGAGCGUUAAUCGGAAUUACUGGGCGUAAAGCGCGCGUAGACGGUUUUGUAAGUCAGAUGUGAAAUCCCCGGGCUCAACCUGGGAACUGCAUUUGAUACUGCCUUGCUAGAGUACGGUAGAGGGAAGUGGAAUUUCCGGUGUAGCGGUGAAAUGCGUAGAUAUCGGAAGGAACAUCAGUGGCGAAAGCGACUUCCUGGUCCAGCACUGACGCUCAGGCACGAAAGCGUGGGGAGCAAACAGGAUUAGAAACCCUAGUAGUCC